UAGGGAAUCUUCCACAAUGGACGCAAGUCUGAUGGAGCAACGCCGCGUGAGUGAAGAAGGUUUUCGGAUCGUAAAGCUCUGUUGUUGGUGAAGAAGGAUAGAGGCAGUAACUGGUCUUUAUUUGACGGUAAUCAACCAGAAAGUCACGGCUAACUACGUGCCAGCAGCCGCGGUAAUACGUAGGUGGCAAGCGUUGUCCGGUUUUAUUGGGCGUAAAGCGAGCGCAGGCGGAAUGAUAAGUCUGAUGUGAAAGCCCACGGCUCAACCGUGGAACUGCAUCGGAAACUGUCAUUCUUGAGUGCAGAAGAGGAGAGUGGAAUUCCAUGUGUAGCGGUGGAAUGCGUAGAUAUAUGGAAGAACACCAGUGGCGAAGGCGGCUCUCUGGUCUGCAACUGACGCUGAGGCUCGAAAGCAUGGGUAGCGAACAGG
Molecule: ribosomal RNA, 429 nt
Filed under: bacterium
Lineage: Bacteria
Description: partial 16S ribosomal RNA
Rfam family: Bacterial small subunit ribosomal RNA
Source: RNAcentral